GAUGAACGCUGGCGGCGUGCCUCAAACAUGCAAGUCGAGCGGGGCUAUGUAAUAUCGCAAGGUAGAACAUAGCCUAGCGGCGAACGGGUGAGUAACACGUGGGUAACCUGCCUGGAAGACAGGGAUAACGAUUCGAAAGGGUCGCUAAUACCUGAUAAUAUCCUUUCAUCGCAUGGUGAUAGGAAGAAAGGGGAAACCCGCUUUCAGAUGGGCCCGCGUCCCAUCAGCUAGUUGGUAAGGUAAAGGCUUACCAAGGCGACGACGGGUAGCCGGUCUGAGAGGAUGUACGGCCACACUGGGACUGAGAUACGGCCCAGACUCCUACGGGAGGCAGCAGUUGGGAAUCUUAGGCAAUGGACGAAAGUCUGACCUAGCGACGCCGCGUGAGGGAAGAAGGCCUUCGGGUUGUAAACCUCUGUUAUGGGGGAAGAAGUAAGUGACGGUACCCCAAGAGGAAGCCCCUGCUAACUACGUG
This 475-nucleotide ribosomal RNA is filed under the name uncultured bacterium. RNAcentral describes it as "bacterial SSU rRNA". It matches the Rfam family "Bacterial small subunit ribosomal RNA", at positions 28 to 507 of the family's 1533-position model. The record is from RNAcentral.